Molecule: non-coding RNA, 642 nt
Organism: Marmota monax (woodchuck)
Lineage: Eukaryota; Metazoa; Chordata; Mammalia; Rodentia; Sciuridae
Source: the annotation of a RefSeq genome assembly
GCUCAGGAGGCAGACUCUUCGGGCAUCGCCACCAUGGCCUGGGCUCUGCUUGUCCUUACCCUCCUCACUCAGGGCACAGGUUCCUGGUCCCAGUCUGCUCUGCCUCAACCUCUAUCAGCCUCUGGAUCUCUAGGACAGUCAGUCACCAUCUCCUGCACUAGAACCAGCAAUGACAUUGAGAUUUAUAAUAAUGUCUCCUGGUAUCGAGAUCUCCCAGGAGCAUCUCCCAAAAUCCUGAUUUAUGGAGCCACUAAUCGUCCCUCCAGUGUACCCAAUCGCUUCUCUGGCUCCCAGUCUAGCAAUUCAGCCUCUCUGACUAUUUCUAGCCUUCAGGCUGAGGAUGAGGCUGAUUAUUAUUGCUGCUCAUAUACAAGCAGCAGCAAUUUACACAGUGCUCCAAGUUUAUGGGGAAGUGGGUGCAAAAUGUGUCUUGAGUCACAUGUUUCUAUUCACUCAGAAGUUUCUUCUUCAGCCCUGCACAGAGACAGCUUCAGGCCACAGGGCCAUGAGAAUCCAGUUCUCUCUCAGUUCCUCUUUUGUUCAACCAUGAAAUGUCUGCUUGGAAUUACUCAGUCAACAUACCUGGUUUUGCUCUUCAUGAGCACAUCUGUUGGUGAAGUAACAACCACUGAGAAAUUCUGA